AAUUCUCAACUUCAUAGUUUAUUUAUUAACUAUGAUGUUUGGAUUUGGAAGGUUGCUGGCGAAAGCUGGCUCUUCUUAAAUAUAUUAGCUGCUUUUCUGUGAGUUGGCUCAGAGUGUGAUAAGUAUCUACACUUGGUGGCUGCUUGCCUUGGAUGUGGCUUCUAAUUGUCUUCGGACAACUUCUUAAG
This 188-nucleotide unclassified non-coding RNA is filed under the name uncultured Xenasmatella. RNAcentral's name for it is "sequence contains ITS2". The record is from RNAcentral. Lineage: Eukaryota; Fungi; Basidiomycota; Agaricomycetes; Russulales; Xenasmataceae.